This 470-nucleotide ribosomal RNA is filed under the name uncultured bacterium. Its description in RNAcentral is "SSU rRNA". It matches the Rfam family "Bacterial small subunit ribosomal RNA", at positions 26 to 518 of the family's 1533-position model. The record is from RNAcentral.
AGGACGAACGCUGGCGGCGUGCUUAACACAUGCAAGUCGAACGGAAAGGCCCUUCGGGGUACUCGAGUGGCGAACGGGUGAGUAACACGUGGGUGAUCUGCCCCGCACUUUGGGAUAAGCCUGGGAAACUGGGUCUAAUACCGAAUAGGACCAUGGCAUGCAUGUGCUGUGGUGGAAAGCUUUUGCGGUGUGGGAUGGGCCCGCGGCCUAUCAGCUUGUUGGUGGGGUUAAGGCCUACCAAGGCGACGACGGGUAGCCGGCCUGAGAGGGUGUCCGGCCACACUGGGACUGAGAUACGGCCCAGACUCCUACGGGAGGCAGCAGUGGGGAAUAUUGCACAAUGGGCGCAAGCCUGAUGCAGCGACGCCGCGUGGGGAUGACGGCCUCGGUUGUAAACCCUUUCAGUAGGACGAAGCGCAAGUGACGGUACCUACAGAAGAAGCACCGGCCAACUACGUGCCAGCAGCCGC